RNAcentral lists this transfer RNA (65 nucleotides) under Curculionidae sp. BMNH 1040049. RNAcentral's name for it is "tRNA-Pro". The record is from RNAcentral. Lineage: Eukaryota; Metazoa; Arthropoda; Insecta; Coleoptera; Curculionidae.
CAGAAUAUAGUUUAGAAAAAAUAAUAAUUUUGGAGAUUGUAGAUAUAUGAUAUAUGUUAUUCUGA